GCUUGGAUCUUGGUUUGAUAAAUAUUAUUUUAGGGAUAUUUCUUCUACCUUUUUGAUGGACAUAAGAUGUUCAUAAAUGUUAAGGCAUUCUUUUUGGAAAAGAAGUUCCUUGGUGAAGGAACUAAUGCUAUUAAGAGCAAGCUUGGUGAAGCUUGAUAGAUAGAGGAACCGACUCUGACACAAACCAAUGACUCAGAGUUGAUUAGAUCAAAUUCGAAGCCUGAUGUAAAGGCAUCUCUGAAUAGAUACGGUAGAGUACCAUAU
This 264-nucleotide long non-coding RNA is filed under the name Elaeis guineensis (African oil palm). RNAcentral's name for it is "long non-coding RNA (EGUI_LNC017128)". Lineage: Eukaryota; Viridiplantae; Streptophyta; Magnoliopsida; Arecales; Arecaceae. The record is from RNAcentral.